CACCGGGGGCGACAGCAUGAUGAAGGCCAGGCUGAAGACCUUGCCUGAUCCGCUGAGAGGUGGAGCAUGGCCGUCGUCAGUUCGUACUGUGAAGCAUCCUGUUAAGUCAGGCAACGAGCGAGACCCACGCCCACAGUUGCCAGCGAGCCCUUCGGGGUGGCGGGUACUCUGUGGGGACCGCCGCUGCUAAAGCGGAGGAAGGAAUGGGCAACGGUAGGUCAGUAUGCCCCGAAUCUCCCGGGCUACACGCGGGCUACAAUGGUCGGUACAAUGGGUAUCUACCCCGAGAGGGGAUGGAAAUCUCCUAAAACCGGUCGUAGUUCGGAUUGAGGGCUGCAACUCGCCCUCAUGAAGCUGGAAUCCGUAGUAAUCGCGUUUCAACAGAACGCGGUGACUACGUCCCUGCUCCUUGCACACACCGCCCGUCAAACCACCCGAGUAGGGUCUGGAUAAGGGUGCGCCAUGUUGACGCAUUCGAAUCUGGGCUUUGCAAGGGGGGUUAAGUCGUAACAAGGUAACCAAGGGCGAAU
This 530-nucleotide ribosomal RNA is filed under the name uncultured archaeon. Its description in RNAcentral is "bacterial SSU rRNA". It matches the Rfam family "Archaeal small subunit ribosomal RNA", at positions 928 to 1458 of the family's 1478-position model. The record is from RNAcentral.